RNAcentral lists this ribosomal RNA (530 nucleotides) under uncultured bacterium. Its description in RNAcentral is "partial 16S ribosomal RNA". It matches the Rfam family "Bacterial small subunit ribosomal RNA", at positions 355 to 874 of the family's 1533-position model. The record is from RNAcentral.
UGGGGAAUAUUGCACAAUGGGCGCAAGCCUGAUGCAGCCAUGCCGCGUGUGUGAAGAAGGCCUUCGGUUGUAAAGCACUUUCAGCGAGGAGGAAGGUGGUGAGCUUAAUACGCUCAUCAAUUGACGUUACUCGCAGAAGAAGCACCGGCUAACUCCGUGCCAGCAGCCGCGGUAAUACGGAGGGUGCAAGCGUUAAUCGGAAUUACUGGGCGUAAAGCGCACGCAGGCGGUUUGUUAAGUCAGAUGUGAAAUCCCCGGGCUCAACCUGGGAACUGCAUUUGAAACUGGCAAGCUAGAGUCUCGUAGAGGGGGGUAGAAUUCCAGGUGUAGCGGUGAAAUGCGUAGAGAUCUGGAGGAAUACCGGUGGCGAAGGCGGCCCCCUGGACGAAGACUGACGCUCAGGUGCGAAAAGCGUGGGGAGCAAAACAGGAUUAGAUACCCUGGUAGUCCACGCUGUAAAACGAUGUCGAUUUUGGAGGUUGUGCCCUUGAGGCGUGGCUUCCGGAGCUAACGCGUUAAAUCGACCGCCU